Molecule: long non-coding RNA, 395 nt
Organism: Miniopterus natalensis
Lineage: Eukaryota; Metazoa; Chordata; Mammalia; Chiroptera; Miniopteridae
Source: RefSeq, a predicted model, not a curated record
GGUCUGGGCUCGUCUCUGUAGGUGGGUGCGGGAGAGGCGCGGGCACCGAGACGACGAGCCCCGCCGGCGACCCGGGUGUGCGGAAGGUUGUGGACCAGUCGUCCUCGACACCCUUCGUUGAAGGCCGGGGUAAAGAAGCUCUUACUCCCCGGAUAGCCCAGCAGGCCUGAUAGUCGCCAUGGUAACCAUCUUGGAGUCGUGAAUUACAUCACUUUCCUGUCUUUCCUUCCUUCCCCACCCCCUCCAACUGUGCAACUGCGGCGGAGGGAGCAUUGGAAAGAGGGAGUGGCAGAAAGGGCGGGAAUGGUAAAGAAAACAUCUUUAGCAUCCCUCUGGCCCAAAACUGGAAAGCUGUGUAAUCUGAAUUUGCAUUAUAAAUAUUCUCUUAACAGGCA